This is a long non-coding RNA of Maylandia zebra (zebra mbuna), 1451 nucleotides long. RefSeq lists it as uncharacterized. Lineage: Eukaryota; Metazoa; Chordata; Actinopteri; Cichliformes; Cichlidae. The record is from RefSeq and is a predicted model, not a curated record.
CAUCUUAGUGUCAGGACAUUCAGAAGGUAGAAAAGCAAGGGAACAACGGCAGAAGUGACAAAGCCAAAGAAAUGUAGUGAGCAGAAGAUGAAGCCACACACAUGCUGGUGAUGGGACGCAAGCCCUGGAUAACACUGUUCAUAGAAGUUUAUUGCACUGACAGCUUUGGCAACAGCAUCAAAGACAAGCAUGGGCAGAUGAAGAAUAGAAGUUCCAUGGCAUGUGUUGGAUAUCACAUUUCAGUUCAAGUGGAAAUCCUGCAAACGUCUCUAGAUGGCGCAGAUCCAGCGCGGCGCAGUCCACCCCAUCGGGACUGUAUUAGAUCUCUAAUUGAUGCCUCUCCCCUCGUCGCUGACAGUUACGCACAAACCAGGAUCAGGUCACGGAAUUUAGCGCGACCUGAAGAGGUGGCGUAGACCGCCUUCAGAGCCUACAGUGGAUUAAAAACAUAAUGAGGUGAGUCGAGGUUCAGCUGCUUUGAUUGUAUAGUAACUUUUUAAACUUAAGGAUUGUCGGAUAACCGGAGCGGAAAGGCGAAUCACUUGUUUUUAUGACGAUUUUAAAGUAAUGAGUGAGCUAUUUUUACACUACUUCUAUUUAACAGACGUCAUGGCUAAUUUACAUGUGAAAUUAAACAUGUUCAAAUUUGGAUCAAUCCACAAUCUGCCUUAAAGCUGGCAGGUUACAUUUUAUUCACAGUAAAAAAAAAAAAAAAAAACCCGAAAAAUAUGUUUUGUUAUGUUAAAGAUUUACACGUGUUUUAAAACAUCAAAGCAGCCCCGAAAAAUAGGGCCUGGAACAGAUAUUUGUUGGCUUUACUUUCAGGAUUAUGAUAAUAACGAUAACUCUGUCACAAAUCUUAAAUACUUAAAAUGAAUGAAUUAUUAAUUUUGUGAUGGAAUUUACAUAAUAGGUUUGGAAAUUUUCCGUGAGCAGACAUUAUAGAGGUUUACAGAUUCAUGAAUAUUACAUCUCUCCUUCAGUUCAAGUAUGUGACAUUGCUGCUUUCAGCAAGUUUAUUUAGUCUGCUAUUCAUCCUCAAAGUGCCCUCACUUGUUCUGCAGAGCAUGGCUGAGAAAGUAAAACACACCAGGGCCAUAGGAAGAAGAAGACGAGAAGAAAAAGAAGAAAUCUCACAACAAAUUCUUUUUUUUUUUAACCAGUUUUGCUUUGUUUUAUUUUAUUAUUUGCUAUUUGCUAUAUAAAAACACUAUUAGUCAACAUGUAUGAAUUUAUAAAAGCUUGGACUGAAACAAGUUUGAGGAUGAAAUAUAUAAACAUUACGAGCUGAAUCAUUUUUGGAUGAUCUUUCUUACUGUGCUGCACUUUGACUAAACCGUCCUGUAAGUAUAUUGUUAUGUUUGUGUCAAACAGGAAUGUUAUAUGAAUUAUUUCUUCAGUUCCCCAGAAGUCACCUUUCUCUGUGGUCAAUAAAGGUGUUGACAUCGUCA